Molecule: ribosomal RNA, 449 nt
Filed under: uncultured bacterium
Lineage: Bacteria
Description: bacterial SSU rRNA
Rfam family: Bacterial small subunit ribosomal RNA
Source: RNAcentral
AACGAACGCUGGCGGCAUGCCUAACACAUGCAAGUCGAACGAGACCUUCGGGUCUAGUGGCGCACGGGUGCGUAACGCGUGGGAACCUGCCUUUAGGUUCGGAAUAACUCAGAGAAAUUUGAGCUAAUACCGGAUAAUGUCUUCGGACCAAAGAUUUAUCGCCUUUAGAUGGGCCCGCGUAAGAUUAGCUAGUUGGUGGGUAAAGGCCUACCAAGGCGACGAUCUUUAGCUGGUCUGAGAGGAUGAUCAGCCACACUGGGACUGAGACACGGCCCAGACUCCUACGGGAGGCAGCAGUGGGAAUAUUGGACAAUGGGCGAAAGCCUGAUCCAGCAAUGCCGCGUGAGUGAUGAAGGCCUUAGGGUUGUAAAGCUCUUUUACCCGAGAUGAUAAUGACAGUAUCGGGAGAAUAAGCUCCGGCUAAACUCCGUGCCAGCAGCCGCGGUAAU